Molecule: non-coding RNA, 3167 nt
Organism: Podarcis lilfordi (Lilford's wall lizard)
Lineage: Eukaryota; Metazoa; Chordata; Lepidosauria; Squamata; Lacertidae
Source: the annotation of a GenBank genome assembly
CUUGUUCCACCUUGUGGCAGGUGGGAGUCCUGUCAUGACAGUCUUCAAUAAAGACCAAGCCUACUGGCUGCUGUUUUGCUCUGGUAUUCCUGGCUGGUUUCCUUGUUUUUUGUCCAAGGGAGCCCUCAGAUUUCUCCGUUUUAACAGACCACAUCGGCAAGAACCAAGAUGGGGGCUUUUCGUCUGGGAAACCCAGGACCUCCAUAAACACUGCCUGGGCUUGCACCCUGGGAAGGUCACUUCGCUGCUGCUUAUGCACACUGCAUUGUCUCUUGAGACAGACAGAUGCCAACAAGCUGUUUAGGGGCUUUAAACACUAAUGUAAAGGUAAAGGGACCCCUGACCAUUAGGUCCAGUCGUGGCCGACUCUGGGGUUGCGGUGCUCAUCUUGCUUUAUUGGCCGAGGGAGCCGGCGUACAGCUUCCGGGUCAUGUGGCCAGCAUGACUAAGCCGCUUCUGGAGAACCAGAGCAGCACAUGGAAAUGCCGUUUACCUUCCCGCCGGAGAGGUACCUAUUUAUCUACUUGCACUUUGACGUUCUUUCGAACUGCUAGGUUGGCAGGAGCAGGGACUGAGCAACGGGAGCUCACCCCAUCGUGGGGAUUCGAACCACCGACCUUCUGAUCAGCAAGUCCUGGGCUCUGUGGUUUAACCUACAGCGCCACCCGCAUCCCCAAAACACUAAUGUAAGCACCUUGAAUUGGACCUGGAAAUGAAGUGGCAGCCAGCAACAGCUGUUUUAAAAGAGAAGCUGUGUGGAGUUCUGAAUUUAACCUCAGUCUGUAAUCUCAAGUGCUGCAUUUCGGAUUAGCUUAAAAUUUCCAACCCAGAGUCUUUACAUAAACACUGCCUUAUCUUUAUUAGCAAAGAAUGAGGCGGGUUCAACAUGACAUGUCAGUGAGUCAUCCACGGUUGCUAGAGAUUACAAGCAAUUUAAGCUUUCACUGACAGCAAGACAUGAGGAAUGUAAACUCUCCUUUCCUCCUCAGUUGCUAAUGUUUAGCCUUUAAAUCAUAUAUUUACUGUUGCUCUAUUGUAAGAGGUGUGGGGAACAGCAGGAGACACAACCUUCCAUGCUCUGAUUUUCAGUAAACGGGAAUGCUUUGAAUCUGUGCAAAACCAAAACAACCUUCUUAUGCAUGCUAAACAACUCUCUAUAGAAAAGACAUUCUGUAUGGUAUUAAGGGGAAUAAGCACACAUUUCUAGAAGACACCAAACUGUAUUAGCUGCCUUGUUGAUGCAAUUUUCAGCAGCAGUUACAGAGAGAGGAAAGACUUUGUCAUUGGGUAAAGAACUGGCCAAUAGCAAUCCAUGCCAGUUGCAACACCCAUUCUGUGCUCUAAUAUUCUAUUUUCAGAAGAAAGGAGGCAAUUAUCUGUGUGAAGCAGAGUCCAGUAGGUACUGAUGGGUAUUUAAAAAACAGACAAACAAGGACACCUAUUUACCUUUCCUUUGCCUGGAGUAUAAUAAACGUCUCAAUCUGGGCUGAAACCAUGCAGUAUCAAAGAGGGAUAUAAGUGUUAACUGCAUAUUGGACAGCAGCCUGGAGUUCAGCUUCCUUCUCUAAGGCUGAGAACUUGAGCCAAACAGCUUUCUAAAGGAAUUUGCUAAGGAGACAUGCAUGUUAAGUAAGAGAUAACCAGAAGAGCUUAGCGUUCUUUGCUAUUGCUUUUUAAAAAUUCAUUUUUUUAAAAAAAAAUUCUUAUUGGGCAGCAUUCUUUGGCUUAGAAAAUAAAUCCACAGUGUCCUCAAUCAUUAAAUUGCUUACUGCACAGAAACCUAUUACUUUACCGGUCCUGCCUGAUAGUCAGACAUUGGGAACUUGUUGCCUUUGGCAUGUUGUUGGACUCUAAUUCCCAUUAGCUGCAGCCAGCAUGGCCAGUGGUGAAGGAUGAUGGGAGUUGUAGUCUGGAAAGCAAGCAGAGGUUUCCCACCCUCCCAUAGUUCAUGGGAAAUCAAAGCUCAAACACUAAAGGAUAACUGGUGCAGGUUUCUUCCAGGGCCGGCCCAACCAUGAGGCAAGGACUGCCUUAGGCGGCAGGAUUUGCAGGGACAGCAGAUCUCAAUGUAGAUCUUUAUCCCCCGCCCCCCUUAUUCCUGAUGUAGAUUUUCACUCACCCUUCUUCCCUGGUGGGGAGGAGGCCCCAUUUUGUCAUUCACUUCACGCCCCAGUCUUGGGCCAGCCCUAGCUUAAAGCUAAGAAGGUGUUGGUUUGCUGAAUCUGGACUGAAUUCAGCCUUCUCACAGGUGUUGGUAACUUAACUGGUUUAUUAACAGGUUUUUAUUCCAUUCCAGGGCAGGACUCUUUAAUAUAUGCCUGCCACAGCUUUUCUCCUAGGUCAGAGGUUUCCAAACUCUGGUCCAUGGACCACCCGUGGUCUGUGAGCUUCAUGCAGGUGGUCUAGGGCAUGUGUAUGGAUUUGGAGUUGAAGGUGGGAGGCGAUGCAUCCACUGCAUUAAACAUCCUUAUUGAUUUUUAACUAUUUUUAUUGCAUCUUUCAUUUCUUAUGUUCUAUUUUAUUGCAUUACAGUUUGAAAUCUAUGCAAUUCAAAUUGCAAUGCAAUAAAAUAAAAUGCAUAAGAAACAAACGAAGCAAAAAGGUACAGUUAAAAAUCAUACGGAUCUCGAAAAGCACAAUACAAUUGUUACAGCAGGUCGGGUGGAAACAUCAUUAAGUGGUCUGCCAAGAACCUGAGCAAUUUUCCAGUGUGCCAUGGAACAAAAAGUAUGGGAAACAUUGAGGUAGGCCCUGGGAAGACUGUGAAAGAGGAGUUGGAGUUAUUUGGGAACGGUGCACAGUAUUUCACUGUGCCUGAGUGUAUGUGGCCAAUACACACAAUACACAUGGCCAGUUUCCCAUAAACCCUAUAUGUACUGUCCUAAAUUCUGUGGAAGCAGAGAUACAUACAUGUAGCCUUUUGGAGUAACAUCAACCUCUUUUUUUCUUACAGAUAAUUACUGCAGCUUGAACACCUCUUUGCAUUUCAGCUUCAGGAUCAGAGAGAAGAAUCCCAUGGAAACAUAUCACAUUACAGAACUGGGUUGUUGUUGUGGUUUAGUCGUUUAGUCGUGUCCGACUCUUCAUGACCCCAUGGACCAGAGCAUGCCAGGCACUCCUGUCUUCCACUGCCUCCCGCAGUUUGGUCAAACUCAUGCUGGUAGCUU